Molecule: transfer RNA, 69 nt
Filed under: Scolytinae sp. BMNH 1040327
Lineage: Eukaryota; Metazoa; Arthropoda; Insecta; Coleoptera; Curculionidae
Description: tRNA-Gln
Source: RNAcentral
UGUAUUUUAGUAUAAGAUGUAUAAAAGUUUUUGGAACUUUGGGUAAAGGUCUAAUUCCUUUAGGUACAA